Long non-coding RNA from Fundulus heteroclitus (mummichog), 1046 nucleotides. RefSeq lists it as uncharacterized. The record is from RefSeq and is a predicted model, not a curated record. The transcript has 3 exons. Lineage: Eukaryota; Metazoa; Chordata; Actinopteri; Cyprinodontiformes; Fundulidae.
UGUAUAAGGUGCUGCAGAAUUUAUCUGUGGCUUUACCAGUAAUAACCUCCGUGUGCGCAAGACAGUCAAGAGCAACAUUUCACCGGAGACAAGGUGGGUGUCCCACAGGUAAUAUUUAGAUAAAUAUGAGCCUAAACGACUGAAAUGUGGGAUGAACUGUUCAUUAUUUCUUUGUGCUCAUGUUUUGGCUAGGUGAUCUGAGGAUGAAGAUAGUGAUCUUAUGUGUUUUGGUUAUUUUCUUCUGUUCAACCACUAGGGAGAUGGUUAUGGCUAAAACAAGACCAUAUAGACACCACUCAUUUAAGAAAGAAAGUGGACCAAACAUCAUCCGAGACCUUAAAAGGCAUUCAGAUGGCACAUUCACCAGCGACUUCAUCAACAAUCUUGACAGGAUGAAAGCUAAAGAUUUUGUGGAGUGGCUGUCCAGCGUCAAAAAAGAGAGUUGUCGUGAGGACUUGCUGCAAACUCCAACAGAAGUAUGAAACAACGUUGUCUUGCAUCAUGUAGCAGCACAAAAGAAGACUCCUCCUCUAAAGCAGCUUAGCAAUAUGACAAAUACAUUUUGUAAUUGAAAUUCUAACUUUUAAAAAAUUCUGAGGAUGUACUAGGACUAUGCGUCUGAAAGUUUUCUCAAAAACCGGUCUACAGGCUGAAUUCUUGUGUGAAUUCAGAAGAAAAUGCACCUACACAGGCCAUUAUGUUCUGCAUGAACAGAAAUAUGAUUAUCUAUGAGACAAGAUUUUUAGCCCCCGCAAAAUUUUGCAACCAUAAUUUCAAAACAAUUCAUAUAUAUUUAAAAUUGGGUGCCAAUUGGGGGUGGCAAUAUAUUAUAUUUAUAACAGAUUUUAACCCGGUUGUUUUGUAUUUGGAACUGAAUUGGGCUGUAUGUAACUGGAUCUAAAUCAUACUGAUGGGAAGGAACUGGAUACAUUUAAAUUGAACUUGAAUUACCUGGAUUCUUCUCAAUUUAAAAAAAAAUGGAUGAGUCAAGAGACAUCUGUUUGGCACUAUUUAAAUAAAGCAAAUAGAAAUAAAAAUUCAAUUCA